This 574-nucleotide long non-coding RNA is filed under the name Camarhynchus parvulus. RNAcentral describes it as "lncRNA (ENSCPVG00000017639.1)". Lineage: Eukaryota; Metazoa; Chordata; Aves; Passeriformes; Thraupidae. The record is from RNAcentral.
UUACCCUCAAAAAUAGGAAUUUUGCCUGAAAUAAAUGGGAAUUUUUCCCCUUAAAAACUGAGAAUUUUCCCUCCCUCCCCUGCCCCCAGAAGUGCCUGCGCUUCGACCCCGGCGCGGCCGUGUGGGCGGCCAAGCAGCAGCUGCUGUGCGCGCUGACCGAGGGGCUCCACGACGGCCUCAACUACGGCCUGUUCCAGCCCCGCCGCCGGCCGCGACGCCAAGUUCCUGGACGAGGAGCGCCCGCUGCGUGACUACCCCCAGAGCUUCGACCAGGGCGUGCCCUACCUCGAGUUCCGGUACAAGACCCGGGUGUACAAACAAACGAACCUGGACGAGAAACAACUGGCCAAGCUCCACACCAAGACGGGGCUGCGGAAGUUUCUGGAUUACGUCCAGCACGGCUCGGCCGAGAAGGUGGCGCGGCUGCUGGAGCGGGGGCUGGACCCCAACUACCACGACUCGGACUCGGGGGGUGAGAGCCAAAAACGCCCAAAAUCACCCCAAAAAUCACCCCAAAAAAUCCCCAACUACCACGACUCGGACUCGGGGGGUGAGAGCCAAAAACGCCCAAAAU